Molecule: long non-coding RNA, 3165 nt
Organism: Trachemys scripta elegans
Lineage: Eukaryota; Metazoa; Chordata; Testudines; Emydidae
Exons: 2
Source: RefSeq, a predicted model, not a curated record
AUGAGCAAUCAAAAAUUGCUCAUGUCUUUAACACUAAUCAGCAAGCUAUAGGUUUUAGAAAUUAUUUAUAGCUUUGAUUUUAAACAAACUGAAUGGAAAACUUCACUAACUGUAUGCAUGCACCUAAGUAACUGUUGUCUACAUGUAUGAUAUGCUCAAUUAAGCAACAAAAUUUGUUAGAGCAUGAAUGAAUAGGCCAUGGGAUAUAUUUCACAUGUUAUGAAGCACAAAGCUUGAGCGAUUUCAGAAACCCCCCAAAAUUCCUUAAUGGUCCAUCAGUCCAGGUUCCAGAGAAUCUUUUUUUUGAAUCUUUUUUUAUAAAUCUAUUUACCUUUUAAAAAAAAAGUAUCUUUCUGUGUUAAAUACUAUGAUAAAAAGUAAACUCUGCUAGCUUUAUUGAAGCAAAGAAACAAAAUUACUCUUCAAAAAUCUGAUCCUAAAACCGCUUCUCCCCCCCGCCCCCCAAGAGUAGUGGCAUGACCAUUGAGCCAUCACAAUUAGAGUUUCUCACUGUCGAGAUGGAGGAAGAUAGAGAUGUCAGAGUGGAGUAAGGAGCUGGGCCAGCACAUCAAAUCCCUGUCAGUCUUUGCUUCUGCUCUAGAGCUAUAGAACUCCUCCUUCUACCACAAAUUACCUGGAUUUCAUGUCCCAAAAAUCUGCAGAUGCAUUUUUUCAAGAGGUUAUUUUCUUACUAUGGCAUCCCACUAACAUGCUCUUUUCUUGAUCUUGGCUCGCAUUCCCAUAUGACCCCCUAAUCAUUCCUUUUCUCUGCACUUCACUACCCACUUAUGUGUGGUCAGUGGUAAUACUACUUACCAGUUUCUGAGUCUAACCUUUUUCUUUCCAUUAUUGCAGGAAUAUGUUUAAACAGUUUUUUAUUCUUUAAUUUUCAGUUGGCUUAUGUAUAUAUUUUCUUCUGUUCACUGUAUCCAACUGUUACAGUUCUUGAAUUUCCCCUCACAUACAAUAGCUACGGGAAAAGUUUGAAUAAAGUUCCUGGAUUGAGUCCUUUUUAUCUUAGCUCUUCCUGACUGACAGUUCUAGCUUCCUCUGUUGAAGGUGAAGAGGUUUGAUCCACUUGGGAGGGAUUUGUGAAUAUGGCUUCUCAGAAGAUAAAAUAAUGUGCCCUCUGUCAAUUUAAUUUCAUAUAACUGUUAGCCUGAGUUUUAUCUGCAAGCAUAAAAGUUUAAUUGUGCAUUACAUAUUUUGCCACAGCAACCAUUGGUGUAUAUCUAUGGAUAAAAUUAUAAUAAACUUUCAUUUACAUAUUAAUAGGGGUGAGAUGCUGCCAAAAGGAUUUUUUUUGUAAAAGAAAACAGGCUUAUACAGGAAAUGAAAAGAAAUCCUUUAAUGCCUCAUUGGGUUGGGUGAUCUUGGGAUAUGUUUACACUGUAAUGUAAGCCUGGGCUCAGACUCAGGCUAAAGCCGUAACCCUUCCCCUUCAGUCUACAUGCAAAUCUCUUGAACUUGUGCUCUGACCCAGGGUCCGAGGACCCUGUGAGCAUGGAGGGUUUGUCUGAAUCCAAGUCAAGAUUGAGACCCAGGGUUCAAGCCCUAUUGUUUUGUAGUAUAGUGUAGGGGUGUUUUGCAGCACCCCUCCUUUCCUGGACUCUGGUCCUUGGAGUCCACCAAUAAUCUCCCACAAUGCUAUGGGCCAACUUCCUUUGUCCUCUAUCUCCCAAGAAUCAGCAGUCGACUCCAUGGAAAUGGAAGCACCCUCCUUGUUCCAGUGCAGCAGCUUCGUGUUUAACCCCUCCAUUUUAUUCUGAUUGCCAAGCUGCAAACACACCCUAGGAAAACCUUCGGUGUUUGACAUCUGAUCAGUAUCCAUUGCACUUUACAAAGCGUGCUGUUUCAUGGUCAUGGGAGCACAGCCAGAUUUUGGCUAAUCUCUGGUGCAAGGCCAGAAAAACUGGAUUUUAGUAAGAGUACUAGGAGUGACCAUGAAUACCAGCUACUAGGAAAGAAGAUGGUGGCACUGGAAACUUAUCGGACCGGCGAUCAGUGCAGAAAAUGGUUUAAGCAGCUCAAGAGUACCAGAAAACCAGGGACCACAAACACAUCUCUGGCUGCUCACUAACAUCAUGCCCAUUUUAUGAUGAGUCUGACCGGGUGCUGGUGACUGCACUUGAGCCGUCAACUGUGUACGAUGACCUGGUAAGCUGGGAUGGCGUCCAGCUGGUCCCAGAAGCCAGCAACGAAAUAAAUAGGAGCCAGUAGCAGGUGCCGAAUGAGGCAAAGGAAGUAACUCUAUUGGUGAAACUGGUCCUAGGAGGAAGCUUUGCCGCAGGAGCAGCUGCAGCAUAUCUGGAGGAUGUACUUUGAGCUUUUUGUAUGACCCCUUGGAGGAAAACCCCACUGCAGAACUGGCUGCCGAAACAGAAGAGGGAGAAGCUGCCCCAGAGCCGAACCGCUCGAACUCUACAUGUUCCAGUACCUCCUUAACUUGCCCACAUUACAGAAGCCUGACUCGUCGUACCCUCGCAGACUGUUCCAGGAGGAAGCAUGAUGAAUUUGAUUGAAGUUCUGGAUUGGGCCAAUAAGUAGCGUGAGUACCAAAGGCAAAGGGACUUGCGGCAAGAAGAAAGACAUGCUGAGAGGCAAGCGGACAAGCUCAGGUUGGCUUUGCAGCUUGACAGUGUAGCAGCAUGGAAGCAGGCACUCUUCAUAGUUCCUGGAACAGGAAUGGCAGCUAAGGGAGGAGGAGAGAGCACAACAGAGAGAAUUGUUUGAGUGGCUGCUACCUCUAAUGGCUGUAAAAGUGCAGGCUCCUGCUGCACCUGCACCAUGACCUGUGUCCCCUCCAUGGUACCUUGGCCUGCAUUCCAGGAACAGCAUGGACAACUCCAUGGCUGGGUGGCCCAUUCAGUGGGGCCCUACGAGUGACAGGACAGGGCAAAUGUGUCUCAUGUGGUCCUCAGUGCUGAACCUCUCCCCCAUGGACACCCCUGUCCUGGCUGCAAGAGUGUGGCAAACAUGGAGGGUGUCUUGUAUAUAGUUCAACUAUUUGCACUUGUUUAUGCACUUUUCUCUUGGUUAUUUUUAAAGCUUUUGGUGUUGCUGCUGAUUCGGUGUGCUAAAGGCAGCUGGCCUGUUAGGCAACGGUUUAAUAUUGUACUUCUCCAAUACAUGUCUGAAAAUAAAGGUUUUCAUUUUGUAAAGAAA